CCGCUCGCCGACGGCCGGGCAGACGCCUCAGGCCCGCGGCCCCCGCGACCCCCGCGACCGGGGCCCACCCAGCGGCUCCCCGAGGAGGGCGGGCGGUACAGGACGCCGAAACACAGAGAGGCAGAGACACAGGCAGACGGAGACAGAGGCUCCCUGCCGAGAACCCGGUGUAGGACUCCAUCCAGGGACCCCAGGAUUACACCCUGAGCCAAAGGCAGACACUCAACCACUGAGCCAUCCAAGUGUCCCAGCCACGUCCUCUUUAUCCCCUGAUGAUGCUCAAGAGGCACAUACAAGAUCUGACCAUGAGCUUUUCAAGGACAAGGCAGGGCCCAAGGCCAAGGACCAUGUCUCGAUCAUCUUUGGAUCCACAGUGGAUACUCAGUGUUCAGCACUUACUGAAUUGCACAGAAGAGUAAAGAAAAGAGCACUGGUGGAUUACUCAGCUCCGGCUGCCCUAACAAAAUACUACAGGCCGAGUGACUCAAACAACAGAUCUUUAUUUUCUGGAUGCUGGAAGUCCCAACAUGAAGGUACCAACAAAGCUAGUUUCUACUGCGGCUCCCACCCUUGGCUUGCAGGUGGCCACCUUCUGGCUGCUUCCUCAUGUGGCCUUGUCUUCUGUGCUUGUGUGGAGAGAGAGUAUCUCAUCCUCUUCCCACAAGGAUGCCUGUCCUGCUGGAUUAGGGCCCUACCUUUAUGACCUCGUUUAACCUUAAUUAGGUUCUUAAAGGUUCUCUCUACAAAUAGAGUCACAUUGAGGGGUAGGGCCUCAACCUAUGAGUUUUAAGGACACAAAACUCCAUCCAUAACAACUGGUUGAACUUGAAUUUAGAAGAUAAGAGCUCAGGUACUGACUUUCUCUGAACCCAGUUGAGUGCUUUUAGGCAGCAAAUCCAUUAUGCUCUCCAAACCUCAACUUCUGUGACAUGUGGCCAGUUUUAUGGAGUCGUUGAGAGGCUGAAAUGAGACCGUGGCUGGAGGACAUUUUGUGAACUAUAAAUUCCUGCACCUGGUAAUGAUUUAAUUAUUCCUUCUACAACUAUAUCAUCUUGCAGUUUACAAUGUGACUUAAAACGUAUGUAUCCUUCAACAGAUGUACAAGGAAUUACUGUUACUGUUAUUAUUACUACAGGAAUACCUAAAAGGAAAGUUUGUUUAUAAUCCAUACUGCAGAAAGGAUUCAAGGCAGCUUCUGAGUAAAACUCUCACACAGGAGAGGGCAUUACCUAUCACUUCUCACAGAGGCUGUAGAAAAGGCCCAGGAAGCUGUUGAUCAAAUGAAUGACCACCAGGAGAAUCUGGAGGAGGCUGAUGCAUAGAAGGGUGGAGAAGAAGGACACGUGCCAAAUGACUGCUUUAGAAGGCUCCAGGCAGACAGAGUUCCAGAGUGAAUGAUCAUACAAAUAAUUCCUAUCCCAAAAAAUAAGGAGACCGGGGUUUGAGGAAUAAGUAAGAAAAGCCAAGUAAACAACCUCAAUAAAAACCUGGGGCCUAAAAAAAAAAAAACCUGGGGCCUUCCCCAGCCAGGGUCAUAGGCCUAGACUCUUCAGGGUAGCUAUUGUGGCUGCAUCUGCAAAAUUCUGAGCAUCAGAGAAGGGGGUGCUAGAACGCGUGACCAAGAGGAGUUUGUAGUCCAUCUGUGUGUCUUUCUGUCUGUCUUUCUGUAUCUCUCUGAAAAGACUGAAAAUCCAGGUCUCCAUCCACUUACCUGUUAUGCAAGUCUUGGAAUGGGUAACCGUAUUUCCAAGCUUGCGUUUGAUUGAAGGGUGAGCCAUCAAACAUGCAAAAUGGACCAUCUUUCAGGGCUACACCGGAAGUGAUAAAGCAAAUCAAGGCUCCAAGAGAAGCCAGGCCACUGGACAGCAGAGCAGUGAGUAUCUGUAGAGGGAGAGAAGCCAUAAGGUGAGACAGGGUCAUGACCAGGUGAUGGAGUGAUCUGGACAAGUCGAACUUCCCUGGCACUCAGGCUCUUCCCCAUCAUAUCACAUGGGGAUAAUGCUGCCCCUGGCACAUCCUUUAAAGAAUAACCAAGGCAGGGUGGCUGAUGAGCGGUCAGUGGAUAGAGCCGGGAGGGGUGGGAGAGAAAGCCCUGAGAAGGGGAAGCAGUGGAACCUGGACCUCGGUCUCCCUGGCCCAGUAGGCUCUCCAGGUUGGCAUAAAAAACUUUUAUAUUCAGGGGCCGCCUGGGAGGCUCAGUCAGUUACCGACUCUUGAUUUCAGCUCAGGUCACAAUCUCGGGGUCUUGAGAUAGAGCCCUGCAUCAGGCUCUGGGCUAAGCAUGGCAUCUGCUUAAUAUUCUCCCUCUUGUUCUCCCUCUACCUACCCCCUCCCCACUCAUGCAUGUGCACUCUCUCUCUCUCUCUCUCAAAUAAAUAAAUCUUAGGAAAAAACCUUUUACAUAGCCUCUGGGUAGAAGGGUUGGAUGGUCAUCGCCUUCCCAUUUCCGACUCUUAGAAGGGAAAGCUGUAUUCUCAAAAGUUCCAAGCUCCUACCCCUAGUUCCUCUCUUUCUCAAAUCAAGCAUGAAAGGAAACAAGGGAGGUAGGAGGGAAGGGGUUAGAAAAGAAGGGAAGGAGGGAGACAGACAGAAAUUACAGUCAGCUCUGAAGUGACUCCAGUUGUGUCAUUGUACUUCUAGUCUGUGCACCACUCACUUCCCUCCCAAAACAAAACGAGUGCAUUUCCUUGGCAGGAUUCUAGCUUGCUUUUAAAUUGGCUUCUUUCUGAGAAUACUAGGUCAUUUUAUCCCUUCCAAAGACUACAUAUUUUAAGAAUUUAAAUAAAACAUAUAUAUAUAUACACACAUAUAUAUGUUUAUUUAAAGCUAUAUGUGUGUGUGUGUGUAUAUAUAUAUGUGUGUGUGUGUGUAUAUAUAGCUUUUAUACAGAAUCGUGGAGUCUUCUUCCCACGAUGUCAGGCUGGUUUGGAGGUUGGGAGGAGCCAGGGAAAUGCUCAAAAUGUGAUCCUGGCCCUGACAGCAUCACAUCACCUGAAAACCUGUUAGAAAUGCACACUUUCUGGUUCACACCAACCUCUGAAUCAGAAAAAUCUAGGGGUGGAGCACCAGGGGGGUUCAGUAGGUUAAGCGUCCGAUUCUCGAUUUCAGCUCAGGUCAUGAUCUCAGGGUUGUGAGUUCAAGCCCUACAUGAGGCUCAGUGCUGGGCCUGGAGCCUGCUUCAGAUUCUUUCUCUUCCUCUAGCUCUCUGCUCCAGCCCCCUCCCUCUAAAAAAAAUAGUCAACUCUCAUCUCUCCUACCUUCUCCUUUCCUCAGAGAAUAUAUCCUAAGAGAGAGAGAGAGAGAGACUGUCUGGGGUGGGGCCCAGCAAUCCGUUUUAACAAACCCUGCAGGGAUUCUGAUACACAAGUGUGAGAACCACUCACUCGCCCAGGGAAAACCUGACCAGACUGAGAACAGAUAGUGAAUGAAAUGUGUGGGUGUUUAUAUUUAAUUCUUCAACAUGUAAUUCUGAAUCAGUGGGGUUUCCAAUAUGUGGGCUGCAGAUAUCAAAGUAGGCUACAGCCUACUGUAGCCUGUAAGGAGUUACUGUAAGGAGUCCACAAAUUCGUGUGUCUGAGACUGAAUAAGCAAUAUAUAUGUACUGAGAUUUUUCAGAUAUGUAUAAAUGCCACUGUAAUUUACUCUGGGCCUCAAUUUCAUUUUCGGUAAAAUGGAGGAGUUAGACUAGAAUAAAGUCAUUAGAUGAUUUCUGGAAAACCUUUCAACUCUAAGAAAAAAUAGCCAGGAAGUUUUCUUUUUUUUCUUUUUAUUAAGUAGGCUCCAGGGCAGCCCGGGUGGCUCAGUGGUUUAGCACCGCCUUCAGCCCAGGGCCUGAUCCUGGAGACCUGGGAUCAAGUCCCACG
Canis lupus familiaris (dog) is the source of this 3863-nucleotide long non-coding RNA. RefSeq lists it as uncharacterized. The transcript has 3 exons. The record is from RefSeq and is a predicted model, not a curated record. Lineage: Eukaryota; Metazoa; Chordata; Mammalia; Carnivora; Canidae.